CCAAUAGCGUAUAUUAAAGUUGUUGCAGUUAAAAAGCUCGUAGUUGAAUUUCGGGGUCAGUAGGUCGGUCGUGCCACUGGUAUGAACUGGUUUUACUGAUUCCUCCCUCUUGAAGAACUGUAAUGCCAUUAAUUUGGUGUUGCAGGGAAUCAGGACUGUUACUUUGAAAAAAUUAGAGUGUUUAAAGCAGGCUUUAGCUUGAAUACAUUAGCAUGGAAUAAUGAAAUAGGACGUUUGAUCCUAUUUUGUUGGUUUCUAGGAUUGACGUAAUGAUUAAUAGGGAUAGUUGGGGGCAUUAGUAUUCAAUUGUCAGGGGUGAAAUUCUUUGAUUUAUUGAAGACUAAAUACUGCGAAAGCAUUUGCCAAGGAUGUUUUCAUUAAUCAAGAACGAAAGUUAGGGGAUCGAAGACGAUCAGAUACCGUCGUAGUCUUAACCAUAAACUAUACCGACUAGGGAUCGGAUGAUGUUAAUUUUUUAAUGACUCAUUCGGCGCCUUAC
This 499-nucleotide ribosomal RNA is filed under the name uncultured Glomeromycotina. RNAcentral's name for it is "partial small subunit ribosomal RNA". It matches the Rfam family "Eukaryotic small subunit ribosomal RNA", at positions 591 to 1091 of the family's 1831-position model. The record is from RNAcentral. Lineage: Eukaryota; Fungi; Glomeromycota.